GACGAACCGUGCGAACGUUGUUCGGAAUCACUGGGCUUAAAGGGCGCGUAGGCGGCUUGCCAAGUCGGGGGUGAAAUCUUUCGGCUCAACCGGAAAAGGGCCUCCGAUACUGGCAAGCUCGAGGGAGGUAGGGGCGGACGGAACUUCCGGUGGAGCGGUGAAAUGCGUUGAUAUCGGAAGGAACGCCGGUGGCGAAAGCGGUCCGCUGGCCCUCUACUGACGCUGAGGCGCGAAAGCCAGGGGAG
RNAcentral lists this ribosomal RNA (245 nucleotides) under uncultured bacterium. RNAcentral's name for it is "partial 16S ribosomal RNA". It matches the Rfam family "Bacterial small subunit ribosomal RNA", at positions 524 to 768 of the family's 1533-position model. The record is from RNAcentral.